RNAcentral lists this ribosomal RNA (818 nucleotides) under Salmonella enterica. Its description in RNAcentral is "partial 23S ribosomal RNA". It matches the Rfam family "Bacterial large subunit ribosomal RNA", at positions 1 to 722 of the family's 2925-position model. Lineage: Bacteria; Pseudomonadati; Pseudomonadota; Gammaproteobacteria; Enterobacterales; Enterobacteriaceae. The record is from RNAcentral. RNAcentral also lists the same sequence under 1 other name.
GGUUAAGCGACUAAGCGUACACGGUGGAUGCCCUGGCAGUCAGAGGCGAUGAAGGGCGUGCUAAUCUGCGAUAAGCGCCGGUAAGGUGAUAUGAACCGUUAUAACCGGCGAUACCCGAAUGGGGAAACCCAGUGUGACUCGUCACACUAUCAUUAACUGAAUCCAUAGGUUAAUGAGGCGAACCGGGGGAACUGAAACAUCUAAGUACCCCGAGGAAAAGAAAUCAACCGAGAUUCCCCCAGUAGCGGCGAGCGAACGGGGAGGAGCCCAGAGCCUGAAUCAGCAUGUGUGUUAGUGGAAGCGUCUGGAAAGGCGCGCGAUACAGGGUGACAGCCCCGUACACAAAAGCGCAUGUGCUGUGAGCUCGAUGAGUAGGGCGGGACACGUGGUAUCCUGUCUGAAUAUGGGGGGACCAUCCUCCAAGGCUAAAUACUCCUGACUGACCGAUAGUGAACCAGUACCGUGAGGGAAAGGCGAAAAGAACCCCGGCGAGGGGAGUGAAAAAGAACCUGAAACCGUGUACGUACAAGCAGUGGGAGCCCCACCACCAAAGCAUUUGCUGUACCGCGUUGACGGAGCGAAGCGACGUCAAACCGAUAAAACAGCAGUGUAAAGUGAGCCGCAGGGCGCUUUGCGCGACAGCGCAAAGGCAGGCGGUUUCGCGUAGCGAAAGCGAAUGCUUUGGGGUGGGGUGACUGCGUACCUUUUGUAUAAUGGGUCAGCGACUUAUAUUCUGUAGCAAGGUUAACCGAAUAGGGGAGCCGGAGGGAAACCGAGUCUUAAUUGGGCGUUAAGUUGCAGGGUAUAGACCCGAAACC